UGGGAAUUAGGCAGCAGGCCUGUUAUGAGACACUGUGAUUUUCUGACUUGUCCAGGAUUCAACCAGAAUCUCAGGCACAUAUAUUACAGAAUCGUUCAGAGAAAUCUACCAGCAGCUCUCUGUAAAUAGGCCGACUGAAGAAGCCGCCGAGUGUGACAGGCGGGGAAACGCGUCUUGGUUUUACCUACCUAUAAGCAGCUACCACGGGUUACCUCAUUGUGCUGGGAAGAAUCUCUAAGGAUCUCCGGAUAAGGCUUGCAAAAAGGCAUUUGAGCACCAGAGCCGGGAGUGAGUAAAGAAUUUCGACCCAGGAGGAAAAGUGGUAACUUUUUUUCAUAUAACAUGGCCAUGUUUUAAAUACCAGCUGAGGUGCAUGAACUUGUAUCAUCGCUUUAAGCAAAAGUAAUUUUAUACCUUUGCACGUUAAUCUAUCAGCAAGUAAUUGGCUGCUGCCAUAUACUGAAUCAGUUAAACAACAGCUGAGCUGUAUGAACUUUCAUUUCUGUUCUGAGGAAAAGCAUGUAUCUUUCUCUGCAGAUCAAUUUAUGAACAACUAACCCACUGCUGCUAUUUAAUUAGUGACACUUUCUAAGCAAAAAGGAGCAGCUUUUAUACACUAAUCCAUCUGGAAGUUUAAAGUGUCGUGGUCAGUAAAGUGUGGUUUUGGGAACUUAAUUUAACACCUUUAAUAAUAAAGAAGGAAUUGGAACAGCUAUCUUCCAGUAUAGCAACAAAGUAUAAAAGUCUCUGACUCAUGCUGAAUUAGCAACUAAAUAUCAAUUUAGAGGUUGGAGUCCCUUUUUUCAGUAUUGGAAGGAAAACAUUUGUUGCACUUGUAUCCAAUUGUUUCAGUGAUGCAUUGAAGAAUGAAUUACAUAGAGCAGAGCUAUUGUAUAUAUAUAUGAUUGAUGUGUUAUUGUUUAUUGGCUAGAAUUUUAAUAAAAAUAUAUAUAUAAGCGAAAUGUGGAAUUAGAUUUAUAGGUAGGGGGAAAU
Long non-coding RNA from Pseudophryne corroboree (corroboree frog), 993 nucleotides. RefSeq lists it as uncharacterized. The record is from RefSeq and is a predicted model, not a curated record. The transcript is spliced from 3 exons. NCBI's taxonomy places the organism in Eukaryota, Metazoa, Chordata, Amphibia, Anura, Myobatrachidae.